AAGACGGUCGGGAGAGAGACCCUUGAGUAAUUUAAGGGCGCCGAAGGUGCAAUCGGCGAGGAAAAUAAGCUGACAAACUCUCAGGCAAAAAGAUCCUGGCCCGACG
RNAcentral lists this non-coding RNA (106 nucleotides) under Phycisphaerae bacterium. RNAcentral describes it as "Glycine sequence". It matches the Rfam family "Glycine riboswitch aptamer". Rfam says of the family: This family represents the bacterial glycine riboswitch. Glycine riboswitches usually consist of two metabolite-binding aptamers domains with similar structures in tandem. Lineage: Bacteria; Pseudomonadati; Planctomycetota; Phycisphaerae. The record is from RNAcentral.